Molecule: ribosomal RNA, 498 nt
Filed under: uncultured bacterium
Lineage: Bacteria
Description: partial 16S ribosomal RNA
Rfam family: Bacterial small subunit ribosomal RNA
Source: RNAcentral
GACGAACGCUGGCGGCGUGCCCAAUACAUGCAAGUCGAGCGGUCCCUUCGGGGAUAGCGGCGGACGGGUGAGUAACACGUAGGCAACCUGCCUGUAAGACCGGAAUAACUAUCGGAAACGAUAGCUAAGACCGGAUAGCUGGUUUUCUCGCAUGAGAGAAUCAUGAAACACGGGGCAACCUGUGGCUUACAGAUGGGCCUGCGGCGCAUUAGCUAGUUGGUAGGGUAACGGCCUACCAAGGCGACGAUGCGUAGCCGACCUGAGAGGGUGACCGGCCACACUGGGACUGAGACACGGCCCAGACUCCUACGGGAGGCAGCAGUAGGGAAUCUUCCGCAAUGGACGCAAGUCUGACGGAGCAACGCCGCGUGAGUGAUGAAGGUCUUCGGAUCGUAAAGCUCUGUUGCCCUAGACGAACAGCAAGGAGAGUAACUGCUCUUUGUGUGACGGUACAGGAGAAGAAAGCCCCGGCUAACUACGUGCCAGCCGCCGCGGUAA